Molecule: ribosomal RNA, 491 nt
Filed under: uncultured bacterium
Lineage: Bacteria
Description: partial 16S ribosomal RNA
Rfam family: Bacterial small subunit ribosomal RNA
Source: RNAcentral
AGUGAACGCUGGCGGUAGGCCUAACACAUGCAAGUCGAACGGCAGCACAGUAAGAGCUUGCUCUUACGGGUGGCGAGUGGCGGACGGGUGAGGAAUACAUCGGAAUCUACUUUUUCGUGGGGGAUAACGUAGGGAAACUUACGCUAAUACCGCAUACGACCUACGGGUGAAAGCAGGGGAUCUUCGGACCUUGCGCGAUUGAAUGAGCCGAUGUCGGAUUAGCUAGUUGGCGGGGUAAAGGCCCACCAAGGCGACGAUCCGUAGCUGGUCUGAGAGGAUGAUCAGCCACACUGGAACUGAGACACGGUCCAGACUCCUACGGGAGGCAGCAGUGGGGAAUAUUGGACAAUGGGCGCAAGCCUGAUCCAGCCAUACCGCGUGGGUGAAGAAGGCCUUUGGGUUGUAAAGCCCUUUUGUUGGGAAAGAAAAGCAGCAGGUUAAUACCCCGCUGUUCGGACGGUACCCAAAGAAUAAGCACCGGCGAACUUCGU